CUUAUUUCCGCUUCCGUGGCGUAGCGUGACGUGACGUGACGGCGCGGCAACAACAACAAGUACAAGUCCGAGUCAAUUUCCUUCCCGGUCUGCUGCUGAUAAUUGCUGACAAACUUCGAGGAAGCAUUCCCUCGAACCAUUUGUACAUCUUACGCUAAAAUAUGUCGAUCUCUGUUGAUCAUAUCAAAGAUAAACUGAGCAAGGAACUCCAACCUGUUCAUAUAGAGGUGGUGGAUGAAUCUGAUGGCUGCGGUGGAAAAUUCAAUGUGAUUGUUGUUUCUGAUAAGUUUGAAGGGAAGCCACUUCUUCAACGCCAUCGGCUGGUUAAUUCAAUAUUAGAAGAGGAACUGAAAGUCAUCCAUGCAUUUUCACAAAAAACAUUGACACCAGAACAGUGGGCUAAGCAAAGCUCUCAGUAAUUAUCCAGUAGGAGAGGUCAGCAGCGUGCAACACUUCCAUGACUACCAUGGAGACUUUAAAGAACCUUCCAUCCAAAUUUAGCAUCUCCGUUCCAGGGAAGGUCAUUUUACUGGGAGAACAUUCCGUUGUCUAUGGCCAUCUUGCUAUAGCAGCAAGUCUUAAUCUACGGUCGAAACUCGAAUACACCUGUUUCGAUGAACUCAAUGAAAAUGACUUUGUUCAUAUAAAACUGCCUAAUAUUAAGCUAGACAUCUCAUUAUCUUCUA
This 686-nucleotide unclassified non-coding RNA is filed under the name Thrips palmi. RNAcentral describes it as "mevalonate kinase, transcript variant X1". The record is from RNAcentral. Lineage: Eukaryota; Metazoa; Arthropoda; Insecta; Thysanoptera; Thripidae.